Molecule: non-coding RNA, 102 nt
Organism: Pelobates cultripes (western spadefoot toad)
Lineage: Eukaryota; Metazoa; Chordata; Amphibia; Anura; Pelobatidae
Source: the annotation of a GenBank genome assembly
UAUUAAUCCAGAAACACACAUAUACAUAUAUGUGUAUAUAUAUGUGUAUAUAUAUAUGUAUGUAUAUAUGUAUAUGUGUGUUUCUGGAUUAAUAUUCCACCC